Molecule: ribosomal RNA, 245 nt
Filed under: uncultured Tissierella sp.
Lineage: Bacteria; Bacillati; Bacillota; Tissierellia; Tissierellales; Tissierellaceae
Description: partial 16S ribosomal RNA
Rfam family: Bacterial small subunit ribosomal RNA
Source: RNAcentral
CACGCCGUAAACGAUGAGUGCUAGGUGUCGGGUGUCAAAGCUCGGUGCCGGAGCUAACGCAUUAAGCACUCCGCCUGGGGAGUACGUUCGCAAGAAUGAAACUCAAAGGAAUUGACGGGGACCCGCACAAGCAGCGGAGCAUGUGGUUUAAUUCGAAGCAACGCGAAGAACCUUACCAGGGCUUGACAUGUCUCUGACCGAUCUAGAGAUAGAUCUUUACCUUCGGGUACAGGGAACACAGGUGG